Non-coding RNA from Triticum urartu, 5542 nucleotides. Lineage: Eukaryota; Viridiplantae; Streptophyta; Magnoliopsida; Poales; Poaceae. The record is from RefSeq and is a predicted model, not a curated record.
CAACAUUGGGACGGCCCAUUAACGUGUACCUCCUCGCAAUCCUCCACUCGCAUGCCCUCCUCGCAAUCCUCCCGACGUCCUCGCGCCACCGUCCUCUUCUCCUCGAUCUCCUCUACCAGGGCGCCCUCCUCGUGACCCUGGCGCUGGCCGACGUCGGCGACUCCGCUCUGCUCCUCCGCGGACUCACGCUCUGCCACCGCCGAGGAGACGGCUUGAGGAAGAUCCCUUGGACCGAGUGCCUGAUCUCGGAUCUGGUGCUCGUGGGGUGGCGGGAUUGAAAGUAUGGAUCUUGGGGACGGGCAGAUGACGUUCGUCGUGUUAGGAAGAUGAGUAUGUAACUCGUGGAGUCUGAGCUGUUGCGUGGCGACGCUCGAGUGCAGCGUUCAGAUGGAAGGGGCCGCGACCUUGAUGGGUUGGGGCUCGCCUCCCGCGCUCCUCUUCGUCAUGUACAACAACCAUGGCGGCCCUAUGUGUCGAACCGUCCCGACAACGACGCUGCAGCCUGCUGACUCUACGUGUAGGACUGCCUGACUCAACCUCUAUCUCAAUGUUAACUCAAUGCCCAACAAUGUCGUCAAUUGUCAGCAAGCAGUUACUCCAAAUUCCAUUGCCCAAACGCCAUAUAUAUGUACCUUGAGUACAAGAGAUAAGAGACCAUGGAUGCAAAAGUCAUAAAAUUAGGAACCUGAAGGGAAAAUGGAAGGCACCUUUGAUCGACAUUCAGCCUAGAAAACAAAAACAAAACAGUGGGGCUGAAACAUAUGGUUUUUUGAUUUAUGAUGGUGCAGAUCUUGGAAACAAUUCAACUGGGCACCACGGCGCUGAAUUGAAGUACAACUUCUUGCCGGAAAGUUCUUAUAUAUGAUCUCUAGAAUCUCGACAACAAAAAUGGACCAUCUUGCGUCUUACUCAAGUCAGUUACAACAAUCAGAAGUUGUGAUGGAUAUGAGUCUUGUUUACGCUUUAGAGUAAAUGCACGAAGAACUGAUGAAUGAGAAGAUAUUUUCAGAGAACCAUCGAUGCUACGUGCAAUGCUGGUUUGAUAAUUUUUCGCAUGUCUCGUGCAUGACAGCAGCGCAUUCAUCGGCCUCCACUUGUGCGCCAAUCUAUGAUGCCUGCGCCCGCGGUGUCAGGUCACGCUCUGCUGCAAUUGUGCAUGCCGCCUCUACGCGACCCCAUCAAGGAAUACAGCCCAGCUGAGAUUUUUCAUAUCAUCUCUGCCAUGUCGUCAUCGUUGCAAGAGAUCUGAAAACAAAAACAAAACAGUGGAGCUGAAACAGAUGGUUUGUUGAUUUAUGAUGGUGCAGAUCUUGGAAACAAUUCAACUGGGCACCACGGCGCUGAAUUGAAGUACAACUUCUUGCCGGAAAGUUCUUAUAUAUGAUCUCUAGAAUCUCGACAACAAAAAUGGACCAUCUUGCGUCUUACUCAAGUCAGUUACAACAAUCAGAAGUUGUGAUGGAUAUGAGUCUUGUUUACGCUUUAGAGUAAAUGCACGAAGAACUGAUGAAUGAGAAGAUAUUUUCAGAGAACCAUCGAUGCUACGUGCAAUGCUGGUUUGAUAAUUUUUCGCAUGUCUCGUGCAUGACAGCAGCGCAUUCAUCGGCCUCCACUUGUGCGCCAAUCUAUGAUGCCUGCGCCCGCGGUGUCAGGUCACGCUCUGCUGCAAUUGUGCAUGCCGCCUCUACGCGACCCCAUCAAGGAAUACAGCCCAGCUGAGAUUUUUCAUAUCAUCUCUGCCAUGUCGUCAUCGUUGCAAGAGAUCUGAAAACAAAAACAAAACAGUGGAGCUGAAACAGAUGGUUUGUUGAUUUAUGAUGGUGCAGAUCUUGGAAACAAUUCAACUGGGCACCACGGCGCUGAAUUGAAGUACAACUUAUUGCCGGAAAGUUCUUAUAUCUGAUCUCUAGAAUCUCGACAACAAAAAUGGACCAUCUUGCGUCUUACUCCAGUCAGUUACAACAAUCAGAAGUUGUGAUGGAUAUGAGUCUUGUUUAUGCAUUAGAGUAAAUGCACGAAGAACUGAUGAAUGAGAAGAUAUUUUCAGAGAACCAUCGAUGCUACGUGCAAUGCUGGUUUGAUAAUUUUCGCAUGUCUCGUGCAUGACACCAGCGCAUUCAUCGGCCUCCACUUGUGCGCCAAUCUAUGAUGCCUGCGCCCACGGUGUCAGGUCACGCUCUGCUGCAAUUGUGCAUGCCGCCUCUACGCAGCCCCAUCAAGGAAUACAGCCCAGCUGAGAUUUUUCAUAUCAUCUCUGCCAUGGCGUCAUCGUUGCAAGAGAUUCAUGUAAAGAUUAUCCCUGUUUUCUAUGCUAUAUUAAGUUACUAAGGUGAUGUCCUCCUAGCCUUGAGCAUGUUCAUCUGACUAAUCUUUGCUACUACAUUUCUUAGCUAAUGUCCUCUGCCUAGAUCAUGUUCAUCUUAUUAACAAAGGCUUGGCCAUCUUGUAAUAGUAGCUAGUGAAUUGGAUAUAUAUUACUCCAGUUUGCAUGGGAACAACCGCUUAUACCGUUAUAUGUAUGCCUCGAUAGUAUAGUGGGAUUGCUUGGAUUAUUUCUGUAGUACUUUGUCCAGUUUCUCAACUUUUUAAGAGGCUUUCAAUAAUCAAAUAAAUCAUGUGCCCUUGGCUUGAUCAAAUGUAUGGUUCGCUAAUUUAUUUUUGAAGUGCGUUCCUCCUACUAUCUUAUUAUUCCAUAGCUAAUUACAUUUUGGAAUCUGAUGGAUGCGAAGGACUUUCACAAUAAGAAAGUGCUAACCUUUUGGUAGGGAAAACAUAAAAACAAAAAAGGAAAUUAUUUAGGUGCGUGAUGUUGGCCAAUAAGCCAUGGCGACUGCCUCAGGUACGCGUGCAUGCGCGCGUCGGGUGCGGUCCCCGUCCCUCUUGCGCGGCGGUGGCACAGAUGUAGGGCUACGGUGGCGGGUUCAUAUGUAGGGCAGCGGCAGCGGGUACAACCGUCUUAGGGAGAUCCUCUUCUCAUAUCAUGCCCUAGUUGUUACUCCUCCAUUGGCUCGCCUCUCACCAUCUAUUCUACAAUAGCGUGGUGGCUGCGGGAACAGGUGCAACACGAUGAUCUAUGGGUGCACCGGCUCUAGGAUGACCAUGGGCUUGAUAGCUGGGUCCGACAUCCCUGUGGCGAUCAGAGAUGGUGGUGUAUGGAAGUGGCCCGUGGUGGGCAGGGAACAAUGUGGCCCUGUUGUUGUCCUCCUUGUUCAGCUUGACAUGACCGUCGUUCAGCUUGACAUGACUGUCGUUCAGCUGAAAACAAGAUUACAUGAGGACGAUUAAACUGGAGCAUAAAUGCACAAUACAUCUGCAAUGUGAUUUUUCUAAAUGGAAUUAAUUUUGUGCAGCUUGCAUCCCUUCUGUUAGUAGUUUGUAAAUAACAUGAAUCCAGUUUUAUACAGAAGCAAGUGAUAGGCGAGUGGAGAAAGACAGUUCGCCCACUAAUAUGGCACUGUCGAACAUAAGAAUUGCAUAUGAAGGAUAUUUCAUCGCAAAUAGCACAGUAUGAAAUGGACUUGCUUUAAUUAGUCUCGAAAAAGAUCUGCACCCAGUGAUUAAAGAAGAUAGUUCUGAUCCAGAAUUAGCACAACUGACUAUCCAAAGCCACCUACACAUUUUGCACUGAGCUUGUACUGAUACUUGGCAGUAAUGACGUGUAUCCUUUUGCAGAAAACAAAAACAAAACAGUGGGGCUGAAACAUAUGGUUUUUUGAUUUAUGAUGGUGCAGAUCUUGGAAACAAUUCAACUGGGCACCAUGGCGCUGAAUUGAAGUACAACUUCUUGCCGGAAAGCUCUUAUAUAUGAUCUCUUGAAUCUCGACAACAAAAAUGGACCAUCUUGCGUCUUACUCCAGUCAGUUACAACAAUCAGAAAUUGUGAUGGAUAUGAGUCUUGUUUACGCAUUAGAGUAAAUGCACGCGCAUUCAUCGGCCUCCACUUGUGCGCCAAUCUAUGAUGCCUGCGCUCGCGGUGUCAGGUCACGCUCUGCUGCAAUUGUGCAUGCUGCCUCUACGCGGCCCCAUCAAGGAAUACAGCCCAGCUGAGAUUUUUCAUAUCAUCUCUACCAUGGAGGCAUCGUUGCAAGAGAUUCAGGUAAAGAUUAUCCCUGUUUUCUAUGCUAUAUUAAGUUACUAAGGUGAUGUCCUCCUAGCCUUGAGCAUGUUCAUCUGACUAAUCUUUGCUACUACAUUUCUUAGCUAAUGUCCUCUGCCUGGAUCAUGUUCAUCUUAUUAACAAAGGCUUGGCCAUCUUGUAUUUGUAGCUGGUGAAUUGGAUAUAUAUUACUCCAGUUUGCAUGAGAACAACCGCUUAUACCGUUCUACGUAUGCCUCGAUAGUAUAGUAGGGUUGCUUGGAUUAUUUCUAUAGUACGUUGUCCAGUUUCUCAACUUUUUAAGAGGCUUGCACUGAUCAAAGAAAUCAUGCGCCCUUGGCUUGAUCAAAUGUAUGGUUCGCUAAUUUAUUUUUGAAGUGCGUUCCUCCUACUAUCUUAUUAUUCCAUAGCUAAUUACAUUUUGGAAUCUGAUGGGUGCGAAGUACUUUCACAAUAAGAAAGUGCUAAACUUUUGGCAGGGAAAACAUAAAAACAAAAAGGAAAUUAUUUAAGUGCGUGAUGUUGGCCAAUAAGCCACGACGACUGCAUCAGGUAUGCUUGCAUGCACGCGCCGGGCGCGUCGGGUGCGGUCCGGGCCGUGUCGGGUCCGUGUCAGGCAUGCCUGUGUGCUUGUGUGAGUGUGUGUUUUGAAGUGCCUUUUGAGGAUAACAUUUUUAUGCUCUUGGAAAUCAAGAGCUAAGUUUUGGUGUACUGGAUACUAAGAACCCAUUGUCAACUAUCUUGCGGUGAAGUGUUGAAUACUGUGUGGAGGUUAGUGUUGAAAAAGAUGAGUUCAUUUGUGAGUGCAGUAAUUUUGACCACUCUGGUUUGUUGCGCAGCCACGUGCCAAAGGUAUUACUAAUGCUAUGUUGUGAUUAUCUUGUUCAGUUAAGCAUGAGACUUCGAAAUAUUUGUGUGUGUUUUUAGAAAAGGAGGCUUGCCCUCGGCAAAAAGAUAUCUUUGUGUAGUUAUGAUUUUUUUCCUUAUCCUGCAUGCUUCUGCUUUCCUUUAGAAGAAAUUCAAACACUGUCGCCGAUGUUGCUCUUAGGUAGUGGUGCAUCCGGAUGUUGUCAAAAUCUCUCCCAAACCUGUAAUGAAGUGCUCGACAAAGGAUGCUAGCGCUAUAUUGCCUGCUGAAUUUUUCUGAUACCAAAAGGACUAGAGCCAACCAAAGUCAUCAACAUAUAUACACCCAAACCUGCACCUUAUGGAUAUGGGGAUUGUCAAACUCGGUGUCACGAAUGUUGAAGGUUGUACAAUGGCAACGGAUAAGCUGAAGGAGCUUAGAGAAGACCUUGGAACAUAUAUAUGCUACAGUAUAACUGAUGGGGUGGGUUAUGGAAUAUAGAUUAAAGGGUGCCGAUUUUAUGAUUGUACCGACUGAAGUUUUUUCAGGUGGUGUGAUACGUCUCUAACAUAUCUAUAAUUUUUUAUUGCUCCAUGCUA